UUGGAGGGCAAGUCUGGUGCCAGCAGCCGCGGUAAUUCCAGCUCCAAUAGCGUAUAUUAAAGUUGUUGCAGUUAAAAAGCUCGUAGUUGAAUUUUAGACUUGGCCGGGCGGUCCGUCUUUGACGAGUACUGUUCCGUUGUCGGGUCUUCCUUCUGGUGAACCAGCAUGUCCUUAAUUGGGUGUGUUGGGGAGCCAGGACCAUUACCUUGAAAAAAUUAGAGUGUUUAAAGCGGGCUAUUGCUUGAAUAGAUUAGCAUGGAAUAAUGAAAUAGGACAUCCGAUUCUAUUUUGUUGGUUUCUAGGAUCGAUGUAAUGAUUAAUAGGGAUAGUUGGGGGCAUUAGUAUUCAAUUGUCAGAGGUGAAAUUCUUGGAUUUAUUGAAGACUAACUACUGCGAAAGCAUUUGCCAAGGAUGUUUUCAUUAAUCAAGAACGAAAGUUAGGGGAUCGAAGACGAUCAGAUACCGUCGUAGUCUUAACCAUAAACUAUGCCGACUAGGGAUCGGACGAUGUCAAUUUUUUAAUGACUCGUUCGGCGCCUUACGGGUUGG
Molecule: ribosomal RNA, 549 nt
Filed under: uncultured Ambispora
Lineage: Eukaryota; Fungi; Glomeromycota; Glomeromycetes; Archaeosporales; Ambisporaceae
Description: bacterial SSU rRNA
Rfam family: Eukaryotic small subunit ribosomal RNA
Source: RNAcentral